UAGGGUUAGGGUUUGCCAAAGAACAAAAGAGAAAGUAGCUAUUUAAUCUUAAUUUCCUUAAUCUCCACCACCCAUAUGCCAUUUAUUUUCUCGUUGUUCGGCUGAGAACUCUCUACACUGAAGAAGAGAGAUGAAAAAAGUUUUGAGGAAAUCAUCAAAUGACUCCUCACACAACUCUACAAAUUCAUCAACCUUUACCGUGAGGACAGUGAGAUAUGUAGAGUGUCAAAAGAAUCACGCCGCCAGCGUCGGCGGAUAUGUCAUUGACGGUUGCCGGGAGUUCAUGCCGGGAGAAACUUCCGGCGCCGCCCUAACUUGUGCAGCCUGUGGCUGUCACCGCAACUUUCAUAGAAAGGAAGUGGAAACUGAUGUUGCUUCUGAUUGUACUUCUGCUUCUUCCAUUACUACAUGAAAGCCAGUUAAAGAAGCUGUGUUGCUUGAAGGAUCUCUGAUUGGUCAAGAUAAGGUUAGGCCGGUUGAAGAGUGGGGACGGAAGGCCAAUGUUAAAAAGAAAACAGAAGGAAGGUGGCUGGUAAAACCGUAAAGAUCAGAGAGGUGGAGGCAUGCAUUUAAGUGGAAAAUAAAAAAGAAUGAAGAGAUUUCCAAAAGAGUCAUGUUCAGUAUAUGGCAUGUGGCUGGUAAGCACAAAUGUCUGAAUCUCUCAGUUGGAGUUAGGUAUUAUGGGAAGGGAACAAAGCUUUAGGUAAGUGUUAAUUUUUAAUCAGGUAAGUGUCAAAUCUAUGAAUGUAUUGAAGCCUCACAGCCGCUUGUUUUUCGAGUUCCACCACUUUCUUUUUGUACCCGAUUGAAAACAUGGCUUCCAACUUUAAUUUCAAGCCAUUAUAGGAUUCCGUUUAACACAUGUAUAACAGUUAUCUGCUUAUAAAUUACAGAAAAAGAGUGCCCUUUUCUACUUUUACAUGAUCCUUACUCCUUACCCUACUCUAACGUCUAUAUUGAAAAGAAAAAAAAAGACUUUAGGUCUAACUCAACCCCAAAAAUUAGUUCAAGAGGUGAAAAUUAUUUAAAACCAUACUAGGAGACCAAGAAACAUAUGGAGCGUGAACAAUAUAAGAUGAGGCCCAACAUCGGGUAAGCAAUCAAUUGGGAUGAGUCUGACUCUGCUAUCAUGGGGAAAAAAAUGGACCUUGAGCUUAAGUAAACCCCAAAAGGUAGUUCAAGAUGUGAGGAUUACCCAAAAUCUGAAGAACAAAAAAUAUAUAUCCCACUAAUGUGGGACUCUAACACAUAUUGGUUUUCUUGCUAUAUGCUGAUCAGUUAAACUCUUCAUGUUAAACUGUGGUGAGUUGAAUUAUUUGAUGACAUUCUUGAUCAUUCUAUGCUUUCCUAAUCAUUGCGAUUUAACGACUAUAAUGUAGAUACUAACAUCUCAAUGAAUGAAAUUCUACAACUAAGGUUGCAUGCA
Non-coding RNA from Nicotiana tabacum (common tobacco), 1426 nucleotides. Lineage: Eukaryota; Viridiplantae; Streptophyta; Magnoliopsida; Solanales; Solanaceae. The record is from RefSeq and is a predicted model, not a curated record.